Molecule: transfer RNA, 85 nt
Filed under: Tissierellia bacterium
Lineage: Bacteria; Bacillati; Bacillota; Tissierellia
Description: tRNA-Leu
Rfam family: tRNA
About the family: Transfer RNA (tRNA) molecules are approximately 80 nucleotides in length. Their secondary structure includes four short double-helical elements and three loops (D, anti-codon, and T loops). Further hydrogen bonds mediate the characteristic L-shaped molecular structure. tRNAs have two regions of fundamental functional importance: the anti-codon, which is responsible for specific mRNA codon recognition, and the 3' end, to which the tRNAs corresponding amino acid is attached (by aminoacyl-tRNA synthetases). tRNAs cope with the degeneracy of the genetic code in two manners: having more than one tRNA (with a specific anti-codon) for a particular amino acid; and 'wobble' base-pairing, i.e. permitting non-standard base-pairing at the 3rd anti-codon position.
Source: RNAcentral
GCGGAUGUGGCGGAACUGGCAGACGCACUAGACUUAGGAUCUAGCGCUUAACGGCGUGGGGGUUCGAGUCCCUUCAUCCGCACCA